This 30-nucleotide non-coding RNA is filed under the name Homo sapiens (human). Lineage: Eukaryota; Metazoa; Chordata; Mammalia; Primates; Hominidae. The record is from RNAcentral.
UGUUAACCUACCUACCAUUGCGCUGUGUAA